Molecule: ribosomal RNA, 376 nt
Filed under: uncultured bacterium
Lineage: Bacteria
Description: bacterial SSU rRNA
Rfam family: Bacterial small subunit ribosomal RNA
Source: RNAcentral
UACGUAGGGUGCGAGCGUUAAUCGGAAUUACUGGGCGUAAAGCGUGCGCAGGUGGUUGUUUAAGACAGAUGUGAAAUCCCCGGGCUCAACCUGGGAACUGCGUUUGUGACUGGACAGCUAGAGUGCGGCAGAGGGGGGUGGAAUUCCACGUGUAGCAGUGAAAUGCGUAGAGAUGUGGAGGAACACCGAUGGCGAAGGCAGCCCCCUGGGCCAGCACUGACGCUCAUGCACGAAAGCGUGGGGAGCAAACAGGAUUAGAUACCCUGGUAGUCCACGCCCUAAACGAUGUCAACUAGGUGUUGGGGAAGGAGACUUUCUUAGUACCGCAGCUAACGCGUGAAGUUGACCGCCUGGGGAGUACGGUCGCAAGAUUAAA